GGCCCCUCCACAAGUGGCAGCGUGCUGGGGAAGCAUGUCCAUGCUGAAGGAGCCUGAGGGGGAGACAAAAGGAGGAGAAAUGUUUCCGGACCUCCUCUCCCUGCGGCAUCAGAGAGGGCCUGCAAUGGGUGUCAUUCUACUCUGGCUGUUCAACGUCUGACAUGACUCCAAGUUGCUGACUGCCUCCUGCUUGAUCCCACCAUGGCCCUAAAGUCACCAAGAAAAAACCAUGCCUGCUAAUUAACAUACCUGAGAGGAAAAUGACACCACAUGGCUAAUCUUCACUGGAGCCAUGGUGGGCCCAGCAGCUGUCCCAAGCACAAGGCAGAAUGC
Molecule: long non-coding RNA, 333 nt
Organism: Cervus elaphus (red deer)
Lineage: Eukaryota; Metazoa; Chordata; Mammalia; Artiodactyla; Cervidae
Exons: 3
Source: RefSeq, a predicted model, not a curated record